Molecule: unclassified non-coding RNA, 218 nt
Filed under: uncultured Borreliella sp.
Lineage: Bacteria; Pseudomonadati; Spirochaetota; Spirochaetia; Spirochaetales; Borreliaceae
Description: partial 5S-23S ribosomal RNA intergenic spacer
Source: RNAcentral
AGUAAGUUAUUGCCAGGGUUUUUAUUUUAUACUUUAAACAUUGAUUUUAUUUUUUAUGUUUUUAGAUGUUCAUGUUUUUGAAUAUUUUAUUCAAAUAAUAUAAAAAAUAAAAUAUAUAUUGACAUGGAUUAAACAAAGAUAUAUAUUAUUCUAUGUUGCAUAAACAAAUUGGCAAAAUAGAGAUGGAAGAUAAAAAUAUGGUCAAAGUAAUAAGAGUC